Molecule: long non-coding RNA, 678 nt
Organism: Callithrix jacchus (white-tufted-ear marmoset)
Lineage: Eukaryota; Metazoa; Chordata; Mammalia; Primates; Cebidae
Source: Ensembl
UGAAAGGAAGCAGAAAGGCAGAUGGAGAACACUUUGUGGUUCUGACUCUUCUUUUUCCAGACACACUUCUGUGUGGGACCUGAAGAGUAGGAAAGAGAAGGGAAUACAUUUUUGACCCCUGCUCAGUAGCCCAGCCAGGCCCUGGCUCUAAUCCCUUCUGUCUGGAAUUCAGAAGAUUGACUGCACGCCUUCCUCCACAUCCACCUUUCCACUUCUUAUUGACUUGGCAGUCGUGUUGGAGAGAACCUGAAGAAUUCACACAGCAUUAUUCAUCUCAAGGAACAAGAAAGUUGAACACUACUUCUCCUUCCCCAAAACAAGGAAAUGCCUUACAGUUGUGUGCAAGAUCUUUGCAAUCAAAUCCCUCCCUUGCUUAAUACCCACUUUAGCUAUUGAUAAUAUUGGGGGCAAUAACUCUCUGAACCUCAUGCUCUGCCAUUUCUCAGAAGUCAUAUCUCUAUUUUUUUCAGUUGCCUCAAAACCAUUAAUUAGUGAAGAAGUAUAUAUUGGAUGCAGUAAUUUUCUAAUAAAAACCAUGGGUUUCAGAAGGAGUGGUUGCAGGCUGAUCAAAAUGUAAUAUUAUGCUUCCUAUAAUCAUGGUGGGUCAUUUGGUUAGUAUCAAAAUUUAGACUUUAAUUUCUGCCAUGGCUGAAAGGAAAUUUCAGACAAAUGUGGCAG